CCUACGGGCGGCAGCAGUGAGGAAUAUUGGUCAAUGGGCGGAAGCCUGAACCAGCCAAGUAGCGUGCAGGAUGACGGCCCUACGGGUUGUAAACUGCUUUUAUACGGGAAUAACGCGCCUUUCGUGUAGGGCUUUGCAUGUACCGUAUGAAUAAGGACCGGCUAAUUCCGUUCCAGCAGCCGCGGUAAUACGGAAGGUCCGGGCGUUAUCCGGAUUUAUUGGGUUUAAAGGGAGCGUAGGCCGCAUGUCAUGCGUGCUGUGAAAUGUCCGGGCUCAACCCGGGCCUUGCAGCGCGAACUGGCGAGCUUGAGUCCGCGGAAAGCAGGCGGAAUUCGUCGUGUAGCGGUGAAAUGCGUAGAUAUGACGAAGAACACCGAGUGCGAAGGCAGCUUGCUGGAGCGGAACUGACGCUGAUGCUCGAAAGCGCGGGUAUCGAACAGGAUUAGAUACCCCUGUAGUC
RNAcentral lists this ribosomal RNA (460 nucleotides) under uncultured bacterium. RNAcentral's name for it is "partial 16S ribosomal RNA". It matches the Rfam family "Bacterial small subunit ribosomal RNA", at positions 338 to 795 of the family's 1533-position model. The record is from RNAcentral.